This is a long non-coding RNA of Monopterus albus (swamp eel), 3677 nucleotides long. RefSeq lists it as uncharacterized. The record is from RefSeq and is a predicted model, not a curated record. Lineage: Eukaryota; Metazoa; Chordata; Actinopteri; Synbranchiformes; Synbranchidae. The transcript has 4 exons.
CCAGUAGAUGGCGCUCCACCCCUUCCUUAUUUUGCUUUACCUUGCUGCGUUGUCCCUUUAACAAACUGGCACACAGGUGGUAUUUCCGGAAGUGGUCAGGCGUCCUACUGGCAGAAAUAACAUUAAUUUAAAUGUCUUUUAACGCAGUUUGUACAAGACAAUCAUAAACACGCCAUGUUAAAAAUAUUUUCAACUGAUGUGAACCAGGAUUUGAAACAUUUUGAUGCAUUGUUUGCCAAAAGGGAACGCAAUCUUACUUCGGGAUGCUAGCGGCGGGUCCUACCAUGAGCAGAAGCAGAGCAUCUGCAGGAAGCCAUUUUGCAAGUAAAUGAGUUCUCCCCUGGUGAAAUACAGCAGUGGAACUGGGAUGCUGCUCAAGAGGUGCUGGCAGGCAGGAUUCAGACGGCUCCUCGUGACUUUGCAGACAUACUCAUGCACUGAGCUGCAGCUCUCACAGCCUCCUCACAGCCUCGUCACAUCAGUCACUGCCAACAGAAAGCCUCAAGACUGAUGACUCGGGGUUCUAAAGGCUGAAAAUAAAGAUGGAUGACCGGGCAGCGCCCAGGACGUGCAGCCACUACAAGUCGGUGGCUGGUAGCAGUAAAGGUAAUCUGUCAUUUUACGCUGAUUUGUGUGUAAGUGGUCAUUUUUCUGAUGCUUGUUUUUAAUAAGUUAUUUGAUUAUAUGAAGCAGCUGGUAUUUCAGCUGACUGACAACUUUGAUUGAUGGCUUGAUGCUGUGGCGCCACCUCUGAUCUCUACUGUGCAGAAUCUGGUUCCAAAAAGCAUCACAAAAUUAAUUCAUUACAAUAUUUUGGCUUCAUUUUUAUAUAGUGGCAGGAAGUGGUCAACUGAUCAAAUACCUUUUAUUUAAACACUUUAAACACAAUUUUCUGAAGGACACAGUCAUUAUCAGGACAGUUCAGUGCUGCCAGAGGUAGAAUUCCCCUUUUAAGGAUUACUUAUACUGUACAUUUGCUCUCCUUUAGUAGAGUCUUAGAUGCUAUGGUUUGUAAAAUUAGGGUUACAUUAAGUAAUUUAACUUAACGUCACCCAGCUGGGAUUUGCUCAUAAAGCCUCCAGCCUUUGAUUACAACAUUACAUUUCUGAAUCACCUUGGUUCAUGCACACUCAUAACCACUCAUCCACACACACUGACACAGAAAGACAGUUUCCCUUAAACUGAUACCAGAAUCAUCAGAAUGUUUGAACUCAAGCUGCAGCCUGUCAGCCGUGGGCCAUUCAUUACCACUAACAGGACCAGUUAAGUCAUAUAACUGUGUUUUGUGUUAGAAGCCAGCAGAGCAGCACCGUCACAGCUCUUUCUUUGCAUUUGUUCUUUGAAAUGUUGGUUGAAGAAGGGCUGUAAAACAGCUUGCAGCAGGUCACGCAACAGAUAAUUAGCUUAGUCACGGUGGCCGUGCUGCUGGUGGACUGUCAGCACUGAGAGGCACAAACUGAACGUAGCUUGAGGCCAGCAAGUUCUGGUUCCACAUGCUGACUUGUGAGAUGUGAAAAUCUCACAGAGAGUAGUCUCAGGACUAAAUCCUCUCCUUUUCUAGACAGUUUGUCUAAGUGUGGACUGAUAAUCCACACUGAAACAUAUGGAAUCUUUGAGAUUACAUUGCACCCCUUUCCAGCUUUUUGCAAAUCAUCAGUCAUCUGAGAUCUCUUUUUUUUAUGUGAGUGUAGGUUUAAUCUAGUUUCAUUAACUAUGUAGUAUUAACAUAGAUUGUGUUUGUUCAUAAUUGUAACUUGGAUGAAGGUCUGAGCAUAUCUACAGACAAAUUUAUACAUAAAUGCAGGGUUCACAAAUGUUUUUCUUGCUAUUUUAUGUCAUGAGCAGCAUGUCUUCUGGGAUUUUUCAUUGAGGAUAAACACCAUAAAACUCUAAAAAGUAUUUUGAGAAUCUUUUGAGCAAUGGUGUCCAUCUUGGUUUUAUUAGCUCCAUCUGGAAGCAAACAAGUCUCCAGAAAUAGAGACAGCGAAAAAGGAAGAACGAUGGCACCGGCAUAGACACGGACAUGAAUGCCAGAGAAUAUCUGCUCCUCACCACAUAAUCACUGCGAUUUAAAUACUGUCACAUUUCCAUGUAGCGGUUUGAGAGUGAAUGUGCCGUCAUGUCAACAGCCAAACUGCUGUUUAAUGGGGGAUGUGGUGUCACAGCUGAUGGGCUGUAAUGGAUGUAGUCAUUAUCUGUACAGAGAUGUUUUGGUCAGUGUAAACGGGCUCAGACGGACUUCUUAUGUUGGUCUACCACCACACAAAAACAAUAAAUGAAGAUGUGGCUAAACUCUCAUAGAACAAACUAAAUGCAUAAAAUAUGGAUCUGAAAAAUACCAACCACACAGUAGUGGUCUAGUUUUGUUUAGGUCUUUUAAUUAUGAUCCAUAAAAUGCUGGAGUGAAUUCUUUGAGAUCAAAAAGGUUCUAAGGAAAAUAAUUCUAAUGUAACCAUAGCAACAGUGUUCUUGAUUCAUUCAUCAUUUCCAGUUGACCCUCACUGGUGAGCCUGUCUUUAGUGGAAUAGAGUCAGCAUUAAACAUAGACAGAAUAUCCUAAUCACAUGUUCUUAGACCUGGAGGGAGGAGAGUUUCUAAGAAUGGAGCUGCUGCCCCCUAGUGUCACAUUUGGCUUUUACACUGAUGGAGAAGAUGGCCAACUCCCUAACAAGUCAUCAACAAGUUUCAGUGUGUAUUUAUUAUUUUAUUCUUUAUUGUCUGUGAUCCAUGCCCACAGAGCAGGGUUGGUGGGUCUGUUGCUCAGAAAAGCGCUGGGCAGAGCACCUGUCCAGGAUUCCCCCCCAAACCCAUCAGCUGAAACAAAAAAAGAGAGGAGAAAUAAAUAUAUAAAUAAAUAGCGGCUUAGAGGAUGUGCUGCCAUCCACUAGCCGCCAGUAGCUGCCCUGGUCUCUGCUGAAGCAGCUGCCCUUCAGCGGCCUGAAGCAGGAGCUCUGACAGCCUCAGCUCCGAGCUUCAGCAUGCACUGAAAACUUCAUCAGGGUGGUGACCAUGCAGCUCUGCAGAGAGCUGCCUGUGGCUGACACAGGACUAAAGAAUCUGUGGUUUACUGGAACAUCCAUCCUAUGAGAUGACACAGCCCUCAAAUGUUAUUUGUUGGAACUCAUGCAUUAAUGUUUGUUUCAAGACAUGUCAGUAUUACUAACAAGACAUGAGUCAGUUCUGUUGACCCUCCACACAGCCCUGUCAUGUGCUCAUGUUUGAACUCCUCUGCCGUGCCUCCCAUUGUUGUUAUAAAUUCCCAAAAGCUGCCUCACUGUUAUGGAAAGUGACACAUUAGUACAAGCUGCUUUUUCAAUCAAAACAAAUGCUUUAAAUGUCCCGGACCUCUGAGCUGUUUGGACCCAGCUUUAAGUUACCAUAGCUGUCUCAGGCUACUAUAGGUUAUAUAGAUCUGUUUGUGACAAUUAACUUCAGAUGACAGUGUGGGGUUUUUUCAGUAACUCCCACACCCUGCUGUUACUGUUCUGCAAUAUGCAAAGGACUUUUGCACAGCAGAUGAUUUUAGUAUGCAAUAGCAGGAAAAGCACAGGUGUAAUUAAAAACAUUCAAGAUAGCUGCAGUGAAUUUAGAUGUCCCAGGUCCAGGGUCAGUGUGUUAUGCUAUUCUGUUAACUGGGACACGUUAGUUACAGCUGUCCCUUUCAUUUUGUAUCAAGU